Molecule: unclassified non-coding RNA, 167 nt
Filed under: fungal sp.
Lineage: Eukaryota; Fungi
Description: partial internal transcribed spacer region
Rfam family: Eukaryotic small subunit ribosomal RNA (bases 1-46)
Source: RNAcentral
AAGUCGUAACAAGGUUUCCGUAGGUGAACCUGCGGAAGGAUCAUUAAUAUAUAAUCCAAACCAAAAAUCAUAUUUAUAAUAUAUAUUAUAUUUAUUUUAAAAGGUAAUUGUUCAAAUAUAUUUUAAUAAAUAUAUAAUAACUUUUAACGAUGGAUCUCUUGGCUCUU